This 253-nucleotide ribosomal RNA is filed under the name uncultured bacterium. RNAcentral's name for it is "partial 16S ribosomal RNA". It matches the Rfam family "Bacterial small subunit ribosomal RNA", at positions 524 to 776 of the family's 1533-position model. The record is from RNAcentral.
UACGGGGGGGGCAAGCGUUGUUCGGAAUUACUGGGCGUAAAGGGCGCGUAGGCGGCCUUCUAAGUCGGACGUGAAAUCCCUCGGCUUAACCGAGGAACUGCGUCCGGUACUGAAAGGCUUGAAUCCGGGAGAGGGAUGUGGAAUUCCAGGUGUAGCGGUGAAAUGCGUAGAUAUCUGGAGGAACACCGGUGGCGAAGGCGGCAUCCUGGACCGGCAUUGACGCUGAGGCGCGAAAGCCAGGGGAGCAAACGGG